GCAGCCGCGGUAAUACGGAGGGGGCAAGCGUUGUUCGGAAUUAUUGGGCGUAAAGGGCAUGUAGGCGGUUUGGUAAGUUAGAGGUGAAAUACCAGGGCUUAACCCUGGGGCUGCUUUUAAUACUGCAGGACUAGAGUCCGGAAGAGGAUAGCGGAAUUCCUAGUGUAGAGGUGAAAUUCGUAGAUAUUAGGAGGAACACCAGUGGCGAAGGCGGCUGUCUGGUCCGGUACUGACGCUGAGGUGCGAAAGCGUGGGGAGCAAACAG
Molecule: ribosomal RNA, 265 nt
Filed under: uncultured Anaplasma sp.
Lineage: Bacteria; Pseudomonadati; Pseudomonadota; Alphaproteobacteria; Rickettsiales; Anaplasmataceae
Description: partial 16S ribosomal RNA
Rfam family: Bacterial small subunit ribosomal RNA
Source: RNAcentral